UGCAUAAAUCAAGCGUUUAAGGGCGUAUGGCGGAUGCCUAGGCACUGAAAGGCGAUGAAGGACGUGGUAUACUGCGAUAAGUUUCGGGGAGCCGUAUGCAGGCUUUGAUCCGAAAAUUUCCGAAUGGGAAAACCCACCACUUUUUGUGGUACUUCAAACUGAAUUCAUAGGUUUGAAGAGCUAACCCGGAGAACUGAAACAUCUAAGUAACCGGAGGAAAAGAAAUCAAUUGAGAUUCCGUUAGUAGUGGCGAGCGAACGCGGAACAGGCCAGCAACAAUAUUGAGAUAAUCUAAAUAGUUUGGAAAAGCUAACCAUAGAGGGUGAUAGUCCCGUAGGAGUAAUGCUUAGUAUUGUUCUUGAGUAGAGCGGGACACGAGAAAUCUUGUUUGAAUAUAGGGGGACCACCCUCUAAGCCUAAAUACUCUUCAGUGACCGAUAGUGAACUAGUACCGUGAGGGAAAGGUGAAAAGAACCCCUAUUAGGGGAGUGAAAUAGAACCUGAAACCGUAUGCCUACAAACAGUCGAAGCUCUUUUUAGAGUGACGGCGUACCUUUUGUAUAAUGGGUCAGUGACUUAAUUUAUCCAGCAAGCUUAAGCCGCAAGGUGUAGGCGUAGCGAAAGCGAGUCUUAAAUGGGCGCAAGUUGUAUGAAUUAGACCCGAAAACGAAUGAGCUUACCAUGAGCAGGUUGAAAGCAGGGUAACACUUGCCGGAGGACCGAACCAGUUGACGUUGAAAAGUCUUUGGAUGACUUGUGGUAAGGGGUGAAAGGCCAACCAAAUUCGUAGAUAGCUGGUUUUCCGCGAAAACUAUUUAGGUAGUGCGUUGAGUAAAUUGAUGUUUGGAGGUAGAGCACUAAAGGGGCUAGGGGAGAGAAAUCUUUACCAACCCUCAUAAAACUCCGAAUGCCAAACAUUUUACCUCAGCAGACAGACUGUGGGUGCUAAGGUCCAUGGUCGAGAGGGAAAAAGCCCAGAUCACCAGAUAAGGUCCCUAAAUCAUGAUUAAGUGUGAAAGGAUGUGGAGAUUCCUAAACAGCCGGGAGGUUGGCUUAGAAGCAGCCAUCCUUUAAAGAUAGCGUAACAGCUCACCGGUCUAAUAGAGUUUCUGCGCCAAAGAUGUAACGGGGCUCAAAUCAUGUACCGAAUCUGUGAAUUUAUAAUUUCUUAGGAAAUUAUAUCUGGUAGCGGAACGUUCUGUAAGCCUGUAAAGGGAUACCCGUGAGGGAUCCUGGAGGUAUCAGAAGUGCGAAUGCUGACAUAAGUAACGAUUAACAGAGUGAAAAACUCUGUCGCCGAAAAUCCAAGGGUUCCUGCGCAAGGUUAAUCCGCGCAGGGUUAGUCGGUCCCUAAGUCGAGGGCGAGAGCCGUAGACGAUGGAAACAAGGUUAAUAUUCCUUGACCCGAUGGUAGUGACGGAUUACGUAAAUUGUUAACUCUUAUUGGAUUGAGUUAGCCGUGAAGUAGUCCCAGGAAAUAGCUCCAUCAUAGGACCGUACCCGAAACCGACACAGGUGGAUUAUUAGAGUAUAAUUAGGCGCUUGAGAGAAUGAUGUUGAAGGAACUCGGCAAAAUGCCUCCGUAACUUCGGAAGAAGGAGGACCCAUUAUAAGGCAACUUUUAGUGGGUGGCACAAGCUAGGGAGAUGCGACUGUUUAUCAAAAACACAGGGCUCUGCUAACACGUAAGUGGAGUGUAUAGGGUCUGACGCCUGCCCGGUGCUGGAAGGUUAAUGCGAUCAGUGCAAGCUGAUUUCUGAAGCCCCAGUGAACGGCGGCCGUAACUAUAACGGUCCUAAGGUA
Molecule: ribosomal RNA, 1803 nt
Filed under: uncultured alpha proteobacterium MB11B07
Lineage: Bacteria; Pseudomonadati; Pseudomonadota; Alphaproteobacteria; Candidatus Pelagibacterales
Description: bacterial LSU rRNA
Rfam family: Bacterial large subunit ribosomal RNA
Source: RNAcentral